This 119-nucleotide ribosomal RNA is filed under the name Pteropus alecto (black flying fox). Lineage: Eukaryota; Metazoa; Chordata; Mammalia; Chiroptera; Pteropodidae. The record is from RNAcentral.
GUCUAUGGCCAUGCUACCCUGAACAUGCCCGAUCUCAUCUGAUCUAGGAAGCUAAGCAGGGUCAGGCCUGGUUAGUACUUGGAUGGGAGACCACCUAGGAAGACCAGGUGCUGUAGGUG